This 19-nucleotide small nuclear RNA is filed under the name Arabidopsis thaliana (thale cress). RNAcentral describes it as "snRNA_17956". Lineage: Eukaryota; Viridiplantae; Streptophyta; Magnoliopsida; Brassicales; Brassicaceae. The record is from RNAcentral.
UGGCUAAGUCCGUUCGGCG